UAUAUUUCAGGAACCCCUAACUAAACACUCCCACAUCUAUAUAGAGGAGAUAAGUCGUAACAUGGUAAGUGUACUGGAAGGUGCACUUGGAUAAAC
Molecule: ribosomal RNA, 96 nt
Filed under: Symphalangus syndactylus (siamang)
Lineage: Eukaryota; Metazoa; Chordata; Mammalia; Primates; Hylobatidae
Description: partial 12S rRNA
Source: RNAcentral